CAGGAUUUCACUGGAACUGGAAGGUGUUGAAGACAGGAAGUACUCCUGGGUUUCUUCACCCAGCUGAAUGCCUAGUUCCUGGUCUUAUUACACGGCUUACAUUCAGGAUAAGAAGAGGCGUUUGGAGCUUUACGCAUGACCUCUUAGCAGCGGUUUCUGUUCAGGAGCGAAGAGGUAAAAAGAAAGCAGUGUCUACUAAGUCCUUUUCCAAGAGUCUCAGGAAAUUCUCACGAAGACCCUCUCAGGACAUGCUAAAUACAGAAAAUAUCCUGCAAGCACUGGAUCAACUCUUAUCCAGAAAUGGAAAACACCCAGGAGGAUUUUGCUACACCAGCUCCCCCUUCCACUCCCCUAAUCCUAAUCGUAAACCCAAAUUCACCCUGUGAGGACAGAAGACAUGACUGGGAGUGACAGACUCUCCUGCGAGGGACAGGGUCAGAGACGGAGGAAGCGAGGGCUUUCAGGCGAGGUGAAUUCUGAAGUCUCCUGAUGAUCAAACAGAAAGCCCUGGAUGAUCAGAGGUACAAGAGAGUGAGGGGGCUGGCAUUCCCACAGUGGCCAUAGGCUGGCUGAGGGGGUCCUACUGUCCCUGGAGCUAUUGGUCAAAAUAUUUUUCCUUAAAAGCUGCAUCUUUCCAGUUAACUUCCUCUAUGUUCAGUCCAGGAAAAGGUGUAGCAUGCAAAGGGUACGUUUUCCAGCAGAGCAACAAGUGGAAGGAAGUGGUAGUGGCAUAUCAGGGAAAGAGAAUCUUCUAGAGGCACAUGAGUUACCUAGUGAACUGCAUGUGGUGUCCAGCCUUCCUCCUUUAUCUGUAGACAUGUACUUGCAGGAGAUGUUUGAGGAGUAACUUCAUGGACCCUUACAAAAUUCUCGCUGGUCAU
This is a long non-coding RNA of Loxodonta africana (African savanna elephant), 881 nucleotides long. RefSeq lists it as uncharacterized. The record is from RefSeq and is a predicted model, not a curated record. The transcript has 3 exons. Lineage: Eukaryota; Metazoa; Chordata; Mammalia; Proboscidea; Elephantidae.